GCAGAUCCUCUUGUUACGGUCUCAGUGGAGGAAGUCAGUACCAUCUCUUUCAUAAAUCUCAAUCUAUUUGAGGACAUCCUUCAACUUUAUCUUUAGAGAGAAUGGCCACAUUCUGCUGGCUGUGACCCAGUCUCUCCAGAGCCCAGCCGUGGACAUAAAAUUUGGAAAAGGGCCUGGCGAAUGCCACGUCUAGAGAAGGAUCAUUUCCUGGGGCUUUUGGGUUAUGUUCCUAUUAAUAUAAAUCAUCGUCUCCAUUUCAGAAGAAGAACCAAAACACAUCUGAUCUGCUCUUAAAGGAAACUCAAUUGUGACAAGCAGAGGAAACUAAAGAGGUAAGAGUAUUUCCUUGCUAGUGGUAGAAUUGGCUCUAGAACCAGAAAGGUUAAAUUAUAAAUCUUUGGCAAAACACAGCUUUCUUUACGUCAUUUUCCUCUGGGACUAGAUGAGAAACAGCUGGGUAUUUGGCUAGAGAAACCGCUGGAAAAACUCACGUUGGUUAACAACACUUCUCCCAGACCUUCACAUGGUGAUUGCAGUUCAUCUCAGCUCUAAUGCCACCUCCUCAGAGUCUCUUUCUCUGACACUCAACCCCAUGCCCUCUUCUUAAACAUAUCACCCUCUUCCUUUAGGGCACUUAUCACAAUCGGGAAUGAUCUUAU
This 659-nucleotide long non-coding RNA is filed under the name Homo sapiens (human). RNAcentral's name for it is "HSALNT0319652". Lineage: Eukaryota; Metazoa; Chordata; Mammalia; Primates; Hominidae. The record is from RNAcentral.